UUUAAAAGAAAAAAAAGAAAAUUCAAUAGGGAAAAGGAUAGUGAGACAAUUUAAUAGUCCAGGUGUCCUUGGAGCGAGUUAUUAUUUAAGAAUUUUCUUUAAGGAAACUUAAUAGUACGAGGAAAAAAUUUCAAGUGUGAUUCCUGGGUGUCGACAGAUAUUGUGAGGACUAUUAACAGUUCCAUUGAAGGACUGCGGAAAGGGUCUCCAGUUUUUGGAUACAUGAGUGCACACGUGGUCCACUCGUCACGUCUACCCAAAUUUUAAGGAGGUAUUGAUAAACCUCAUGGUUAUUAGCCCACGUCCUCUUGUCACGCCAACCCACGUGGACCUACUGUCACCCAUACCCUGGUGUCAAAGAGGUUGUUGGAAGUCUCAGUCGUUUUAGCCCACGUAGUCCUGUCACGCCAACCCACGUGGACCAACCGCCACCCUUACCCGAGUGCCAAAUAGGUUGUUUGAAACCUCAUUUGUUUUAUCACACGUGGUCCUACUUCCAAAUUUUGCCACGUGCCAAGAAGAUUUGUGAAACCUUGGAUUAUAAACACACGUGGUGAGAACAUAACUAUAACCACGUGUCACCAAUCAUCUAAUCGGAUAAGUAAAACGAAAAUCAAAAUUUUUAAGUGACCAAAAAAAAAAAAA
This is a long non-coding RNA of Lucilia sericata (common green bottle fly), 645 nucleotides long. RefSeq lists it as uncharacterized. The record is from RefSeq and is a predicted model, not a curated record. The transcript has 2 exons. NCBI's taxonomy places the organism in Eukaryota, Metazoa, Arthropoda, Insecta, Diptera, Calliphoridae.